GCCAAUAUGGCAUAGUGGUUGGAGCACUGGGCUAGGACUCUGAGAGACCAGAGUUCAAAUCCUAUUUGGGCA
Phrynosoma platyrhinos (Desert horned lizard) is the source of this 72-nucleotide non-coding RNA. The record is from the annotation of a GenBank genome assembly. NCBI's taxonomy places the organism in Eukaryota, Metazoa, Chordata, Lepidosauria, Squamata, Phrynosomatidae.